Molecule: ribosomal RNA, 789 nt
Filed under: uncultured archaeon
Lineage: Archaea
Description: bacterial SSU rRNA
Rfam family: Archaeal small subunit ribosomal RNA
Source: RNAcentral
ACGGCUCAGUAACACGUAGUCAACAUGCCCAGGGGACGUGGAUAACCUCGGGAAACUGAGGCUAAACCGCGAUAGGCCAAGAUUUCUGGAAUGGAUCAUGGCUUAAAUCUAUAUGGCCCCUGGAUUGGACUGCGGCCGAUCAGGCUGUUGGUGAGGUAAUGGCCCACCAAACCUGUAACCGGUACGGGCUCUGAGAGGAGGAGCCCGGAGAUGGGCACUUAGACAAGGGCCCAGGCCCUAUGGGGCGCAGCAGGCGCGAAACCUCUGCAAUAAGCGAAAGCUUGACAGGGUUACUCUGAGUGAUUUCCGCUAAGGAAGUCUUUUGGCACCUCUAAAAAUGGUGCAGAAUAAGGGGUGGGCAAGUCUGGUGUCAGCCGCCGCGGUAAUACCAGCACCCCGAGUGGUCGGGACGAUUAUUGGGCCUAAAGCAUCCGUAGCCGGUUCUGCAAGUCUUCCGUUAAAUCCAUCUGCUUAACAGAUGGGCUGCAGAGGAUACUAUAGAGCUAGGAGGCGGGAGAGGCAAGCGGUACUUAGUGGGUAGGGGUAAAAUCCGUUGAUCCACUGAAGACCACCAGUGGCGAAGGCGGCUUGCCAGAACGCACUCGACGGUGAGGGAUGAAAGCUGGGGGAGCAAACCGGAUUAGAUACCCGGGUAGUCCCAGCUGUAAACGAUGCAGACUCGGUGAUGAAUAGGCUUCGUGCCUAUUCAGUGCCGCAGGGAAGCCGUUAAGUCUGCCGCCUGGGGAGUACGGUCGCAAGACUGAAACUUAAAAGGAAUUGGCGGGGGAG